CCUACGGGGGGCAGCAGUGAGGAAUAUUGGUCAAUGGCCGAGAGGCUGAACCAGCCAAGUCGCGUGAGGGAAGACGGCCCUACGGGUUGUAAACCUCUUUUGUCGGGGAGCAAAGCGAGUCACGUGUGACUCCUUGAGCGUACCCGACGAAAAAGCAUCGGCUAACUCCGUGCCAGCAGCCGCGGUAAUACGGAGGAUGCGAGCGUUAUCCGGAUUUAUUGGGUUUAAAGGGAGCGUAGAUGGGUUGUUAAGUCAGUUGUGAAAGUUUGCGGCUCAACCGUAAAAUUGCAAUUGAUACUGGCAGCCUGGAGUACAGUUGAGGUAGGCGGAAUUCGUGGUGUAGCGGUGAAAUGCUUAGAUAUCACGAAGAACUCCGAUUGCGAAGGCAGCGUACCGGCGCCAGACUGACGCUGAGGCACGAAAGCGUGGGGAUCGAACAGGAUUAGAUACCCCGGUAGUC
RNAcentral lists this ribosomal RNA (460 nucleotides) under uncultured bacterium. RNAcentral's name for it is "partial 16S ribosomal RNA". It matches the Rfam family "Bacterial small subunit ribosomal RNA", at positions 338 to 795 of the family's 1533-position model. The record is from RNAcentral.